GUGGGUAUAGCUCAGUUGGUCAGAGCGCUGGGUUGUGGUCCCGGAGGUCGGGGGUUCGAGCCCCCUUACCCACC
RNAcentral lists this transfer RNA (74 nucleotides) under Deltaproteobacteria bacterium CG2_30_63_29. RNAcentral's name for it is "tRNA-His". It matches the Rfam family "tRNA". From Rfam's summary of the family: Transfer RNA (tRNA) molecules are approximately 80 nucleotides in length. RNAcentral also lists the same sequence under 2 other names. Lineage: Bacteria; Deltaproteobacteria. The record is from RNAcentral.